RNAcentral lists this ribosomal RNA (478 nucleotides) under uncultured bacterium. RNAcentral describes it as "partial 16S ribosomal RNA". It matches the Rfam family "Bacterial small subunit ribosomal RNA", at positions 28 to 523 of the family's 1533-position model. The record is from RNAcentral.
GACGAACGCUGGCGGCGUGCUUAACACAUGCAAGUCGAACGGUAAGGCCCUUCGGGGUACACGAGUGGCAAACGGGUGAGUAACACGUGGGUGAUCUGCCCUGCACUUCGGGAUAAGCCUGGGAAACUGGGUCUAAUACCGGAUAGGACCACUGCCUGCAUGGGUGGUGGUGGAAGGCUUUUGUGGUGUGGGAUGGGCCCGCGGCCUAUCAGCUUGUUGGUGGGGUGAUGGCCUACCAAGGCGACGACGGGUAGCCGGCCUGAGAGGGUGACCGGCCACACUGGGACUGAGAUACGGCCCAGACUCCUACGGGAGGCAGCAGUGGGGAAUAUUGCACAAUGGGCGCAAGCCUGAUGCAGCGACGCCGCGUGAGGGAUGACGGCCUUCGGGUUGUAAACCUCUUUCAGCUAUGACGAAGCGCAAGUGACGGUAGUAGCAGAAGAAGGACCGGCCAACUACGUGCCAGCCGCCGCGGUAA